GACGAACGCUGGCGGCGUGCCUAAUACAUGCAAGUCGAGCGGACCGGAUUGGGGCUUGCCUUGAUUCGGUCAGCGGCGGACGGGUGAGUAACACGUGGGCAACCUGCCCGCAAGACCGGGAUAACUCCGGGAAACCGGAGCUAAUACCGGAUAACACCGAAGACCGCAUGGUCUUCGGUUGAAAGGCGGCCUUUGGGCUGUCACUUGCGGAUGGGCCCGCGGCGCAUUAGCUAGUUGGUGAGGUAACGGCUCACCAAGGCGACGAUGCGUAGCCGGCCUGGGAGGGUGACCGGCCACACUGGGACUGAGACACGGCCCAGACUCCUACGGGAGGCAGCAGUAGGGAAUCUUCCGCAAUGGGCGAAAGCCUGACGGAGCGACGCCGCGUGAGCGAAGAAGGCCUUCGGGUCGUAAAGCUCUGUUGUGAGGGACGAAGGAGCGCCGUUCGAAGAGGGCGGCGCGGUGACGGUACCUCACGAGAAAGCCCCGGCUAACUACGUG
RNAcentral lists this ribosomal RNA (501 nucleotides) under uncultured bacterium. RNAcentral's name for it is "partial 16S ribosomal RNA". It matches the Rfam family "Bacterial small subunit ribosomal RNA", at positions 28 to 507 of the family's 1533-position model. The record is from RNAcentral.